CUCUGCGGUGGAACGAGAGGGGGACGCGUACGCGCGUGCUGGGAUUUUUCGGCCAGUCUGUCAACCCCCUUUCGUUCUGCCACCAUU
RNAcentral lists this non-coding RNA (87 nucleotides) under Acinetobacter baumannii. Lineage: Bacteria; Pseudomonadati; Pseudomonadota; Gammaproteobacteria; Moraxellales; Moraxellaceae. The record is from RNAcentral.